RNAcentral lists this transfer-messenger RNA (349 nucleotides) under Candidatus Neoanaerotignum galli. It matches the Rfam family "transfer-messenger RNA". From Rfam's summary of the family: Bacterial tmRNA, also known as 10Sa RNA or SsrA, is named for its dual tRNA and mRNA-like properties. Its role is to liberate the mRNA from a stalled ribosome. The record is from RNAcentral. Lineage: Bacteria; Bacillati; Bacillota; Clostridia.
GGGGAUGCAAUGGUUUCGACGGGAGUUCGGAAAGUAGAAAUAGCCAUCCGCAGGCCGGUUACUGCGUAUCAAGCCGGAAACUUAAAAAAGAAACGACAAAGAUUAUUCUUUGAUGGCGGCUUAAUGCCGCCCGUCAGCCUGCUGUUGCUCACAGCGGCAGAGUCUGGCGCCGACUUUGUGAGGAACUGCCCCGCCUAAGCUUUGCGGCAGGGUAAGAAAGAUGAAGCUACCAAAACGCCUGCUGCCUGCCUAUGGGCAGGAGGCUGAGGGAAUAAAAGACCAUAGGCUGUGAUGGGAGAGGUUUUUACCGAUGGGCUUUCGGACAGGAGUUCGAUUCUCCUCAUCUCCA